GGGGGGGGCAGGGAAAGACAGAGAGAGAAAGAGAAAGAGAGAGAGGAGAGGGAGAAAGAGAGAGGGGUGGACCCUGCUGGAUGGAGAUUCUGUUUUCUCCUUGCUAAAAUAGAAGUGAUUUGCAGGCUUUCCCUAUGGAAUCCAGUUUGACUCUCCCCAGAGCUAAACACAGGCACACUAACCCCAAAGGGAGGAGGCGGGGCUCGCGCCUCACGGCCCCGCCCCUUCAUUUGCAUAACGCCAUCCUUCCGCCAAGCUGCAGCCAAUCGCGGCUUAAGAAGCCUUCUGGCUCGCCGCGCUGGGCCACGCUCCCUCAUUAACAUCCCUCUCCGGGUGGCGCAGGGGAGCUAGCCAAAGUUCCUCGCAAAGUGGCGAGCGAAGGAUCGCUGAGCACCAGCGUCUGUGCUGGGAAGGAGCUGGGCACAGCUGGGCAGAGCCGGGCUGGAGAGGGGAAACAGACGGAAGGGAAGGGCGAUAUUUUUCUCAGGGAUUUGAACUGGGGUCUGCAUCCUGGUCGUUGCGGUCCUUUUAGCAUCCUCGCCACGCCCUGAGCGCGCUCGCGGUUCACAGGCUGCGCCCUCCCAGGGCCGAUGCUGCGUCCUGCUCCGCUGUUCUGGGACGUCGGGGGCAAAAGUGGAGGAGACGGGAGAGCCCGGGCAGAAAAAGCAGGAAGCGCGUCCCAGAGGAGGAGCUGAGGUUUUGAUUUGCCCGUGGCGUGUGGCUAGCAAGCAGUGGGGCUUGACUGUAACCCAGGAGCCACACUGCCUAUGAAAUUAAGAAAGCUGUCUGCUACCUUACUUACUUCUGUCAACCAAUUCCUGGUAUCUCUCUUCUCUGGACACCCAAAAAAGAUUAUGGCCCUCUCUUUGAAGUUAGUGUGGUCAUCUGACUUCGUUGAGCCAGAGCAUUUCCUUAAAGGAACAAAGAGGAAAGAGUGACUAGAAGACUCUGUGCAGAGUUGGUCUGUGGAGAACUGCUGUAUGUCUUAUUCCUGGGCCAUUGCUAGACUGCAUUUCUCGACAUCCCUAGCAGCUGCUUUGGCUGUAUGACUGAGUUCUGGCGAGUGAAAAGUAGGUGGGAUUGAUGGAAGCCAUUUUCAGAUAUAGUUCAUAAAAACCUCCCACACAGUCUUGCUCUCCUCUUCCUCCCCUUCUGCGGACUAAUCAGAAAAUCCAAGGUGCUAUUCCAAUGCUAGGGCAGGCUUAGCAAAGGUUUUCUGUCAAGAUCCUGAUAGGCAAUAUUUUAUAAUUCAUGAGACUGUUGCAACUACCUUAGUGUGAGAGCAGCUACAAAGCACAGGUGAUACAUGAUGAAUCGGUGUGGCUGUGUCUCAAUAAAACUUUAUUUACGAAGAAAAAAUUUAUAAAAACUCUAGAUCAGAUUUGGUCCAUGACUCGUAGAUUGCUGACCCUGCUCUAGGAUAUGUCAGAAUCACAACAUAGAAGGAUUCUGGCCCCUAAAUGACUGCAUGGGGAAACAAACUUUAUACAAGCAAGAAAUAAACUUCUCUUCUGUUAAGUCAUUGGGAUUCUAGGGUUGUUUCAGCAUUAGCUUACUCCAAUACUGUUGGAGGAGGUUAUCGAGGGGACAUGAACUCAGGUUGACCCAACGAUCUGAACCUGGGCAAUUGGCUCCUCCUCCCCUCCCCUGCACUUCAGAUGCACAUUUUGCAUAGCAUUCCACAGUGGGCACUGUUUUCAAAGAUGCAGCUUUAAGAGAACAGUGUGCUGUUGAGACCAUCUGGACAGUAUAUGAGACUGAACCCAAUUAAGGUCUCUGUAUAAACUUUUAAGGUUCUGGCGGGCACGUGCAGAGAUUUACCUGUCUUGUUACCUGCCAAGAUGAGCCUCAUGUGUAAGUUCCCUUGCUUAUUAAGUCUGCCACCAGAAAUCCAAGAAUGCCACCACCUACCAAGAGUGGUCUUCCUCUUUCUUCGGUUUUUCUUUGCCCUCCACGUACAGAAGCCAGGUCCAGAUUUAAUUCAGGAUGCUCCUGAGGUUUCAAAUCAACAGAAAAAAUACCUGGUCACAAAGAUGGAUUUUUAUAAAUAUUAGAUUUCCCCUUCUUCCUUACAUUCCUUUGAAGACAGGCUUAUUCAUUUGUCAUAGAAUCUUCCCAAUACGUGUUAGUGAGACAAUUAAAACACAAUCAGAUAAAUAAUUGUAUGCAUGAAGCACGCAUAUCAUGCAAUGCUUAUGACAUUCCAAGUUGUUGCUGUCACCUCUCUCCAUCCUACCACCUAAUUCCUAGAUGCAUAUCUGAAUUGUUUUGUGCUGCCUUCCAGAUAACCAAAGACACACAUUUGGGAAAGUUUGCUUGGGUAAAGUGAAUAGAGCUUGGUUACUUGGUUCACUGUAUGUAAAUAGAUUGCUCUGUCUUACAUUUAAGUCUCUGGAAUGUGUUACAAAGUCAGCUUUGGGUUAUUACUCAGCUACUUUGUAGCCUGUCAGUGUAAUUUGGUAUCUUUACUCCUAAUUUAUAAUCAGGGAGCCUGAGACCCAAAAGGGUUAAAGAACUUUUCCAAUGUCAUAUUCUGGCAAUAUCCAAAAGCUAGGCCCACCUGAACCCAAAUGUCACACUAUCAAGAUUUGGAUUCUGAAGCCUCUGGAAUCUUAUCCACCUUCCCUACUUGACAUGUAUUUGUUGGGGAACAAUUAACCUCAAGAUGAGUAAUUUGCCACCAUUCUGUAUGUAUUUCAAAUUUUCCCAUUACACAAGGAAAAUGAGAAAAAUAUGUCCUAGAUAACACAAAGAAAAAUGCUUCAUUGUCUUAAUUGCCUUUCUAUUUCAAUCAAGAAAGGCAUUUAAUUAUUUCUGAACUACAUUCAAAACUCUCUCUCUCAAGAAUAUUACUCUCCUCAGGUGGGUUAACCAAACCUGUGCAAAAUAUUUCUCAAGUCUGAAUAUUAAUAUCAAACAUUUAUUGAGUAUUUUUAUAUGUGAAUGCCAAUUUAAAUGCUUUCCAUUUACGAUCUCAUUUAUUCUUCACAGCAAGUCUGUGAAGUGGAAAUAGUCAUUAUUCUGCUCGAACAAAUGAGGAAACUGAGGUUCAGAGAGGUGAGAGAGCUUGUCUGAGUUCGAAAGGCAGUAAGUGGUGAAGUCAACAUUCAAUCCUCGGCCACCCCUUCAGGCCACAUUGCUCCCCUCGCUACUCUGCUGUGCUGACUCUGAACAGAGCUAUGCUUUCCCCCUUUGAGUAUAGGUGAAAAACCAAUAUGGAAGACUCACCCAAGGUGACUUGAGUCAGCUACUCAAGGGUCAGUCAGAACCUCAAGCCUCUAGAAUUUGAGGUGGGUCAUCUAAGGGCUAUGGAAUCAGAAGGGGCAGAAUCCGUCCGGCUUCUUGCACAAUCUGAGGAAAGAAGUGCUUGUUGCUUAACACCGCUUCCCUGGGCCCUGAAAAUGCCCACAUGACAUGCACCCAGUGGCCUACUUUGACUUUAUUAUCGCUGUUGGAAACCGCAAAGAGAGGGAAGAGCAUUUCUAUGAUAUGUACUUUAUGGCCAUUACUCUUACCUCAUUAUUCUUACUUCACUUAAAAACAAAAAAUAAAGAACAAUCAACUCAGUAUUUACACUCUAAAAUUGAUUGGCAUGAGCAUGUGUGUUUUAUUAGUAAGAAAAAGAAAGUAUUUUCUGGCAUGAUGGACUAUACCCUUUGAAAAGCAUACAGUACUUGAAAUGUGUGGGCCACAUCAGUAGGAAAGAUGCACCUGCAAUUGUUUGGAAGGAUUUUAAACUUCAUAAUAGGUAAGCUUAGGACAGUAAUAGUAUCCUUACAUCUUCAGACCAAAAUAUUGUAUAGUUUGAGCUAAAAAAAAAUGUUCAGUCUUCACAGUAGUCUUAAUACCACAGUUAUUUUUAACCAUCUUAAUGAAAAGAUUCUAUUUCAUUAACCUUGCCUAAGGGCAUGUAUGAGAAAACACUGAUGUUUUUUAAAUAUGAAAUAUAACCUCCAUUCCCAAUAAACAAGAGCAAUGGUGCAUUCUUUGUGUGUCUUUGAAGGCUUCUAGUCACAAAUCUAAUCACCUGUUGAAAUGUAUCUAUUUUAUCUCCAAUAAAUAAUAUGUGAACACUUAAAAAAGACUCUAUAAGCUCACCUUCUUGCAUUAGGAUUUGUGAAAAUCAGACAGCCUGGAGAUGUGCGAGCCGAUGUUUAGUAAAGACUUGAAACAUAGUCUUAAACACUUGGAAUUAGGUAAAAAAUCUAAACAAAGUUCAUUUUCUCUUCAUUUUCCUUUGUGCUAGUCCAUGGCCAUGUGUGUGGUGAAUAGUCCUUCACACGCACUUGCACACUCAAAUUUCACUAUGCUCUGGAGAGACCACUGGAUGGGAGAGACUAAAAAUAUCAUUGAGCUUUCAUUUUCCAAUCACAACAGCUGUCAUUCAGAUCAACACUUCCCUCACCACCCCCACCACUGGUUUAAAAAGUUUUUAAAUCUCCUGCAAAAGAAAAACACAACUGAGAUGUUGCAGCAAGAGUGGGGAGUUUCCAGGCCAGUUUUUGACAAAAAGCCUGUAAGCAGAGAGAUUAGUAAAGCAUUGGACACCAAAGCACUUAUGCCCCAAAGCAUUUCUGGUUCCUGAUACCUCCGGCUUCUGCACGGCGACUACACGACGGGAGGGCAGCCGUGGUCAGGGCCCAAAGCCCAUCCAAGGUGGGAAGUUUUUAGAAGACCCCUUGACACUAAGCUUGGAUUUCAAAGAGAUGCAUCAUCAACGGCAGGGCAAAGUUACUGUAAACCUAUCCCACCUUGCCCCAAACCAGGAGACUUUGGGCCCCCGACUGGCCCUCAGGAGGCUUUACACUCAGAUUCCCACAGCUUGAGCUGGCCAGGUAAUCUCAACUUGUGAAACGGUGUAAGGUGAUACCCAGCUGGUAGUGUACCCAGGUACCUCGCGGAGCAAACCCAAAGCAUCUCAGGGGCAGGUCUAUCUAUGCCAGGCCUUGGUUACCCCUACAAAUAACUUUACAAAGGAAGAAAGGCAAGCAAACAAAGAUUAGCAGAAACACAAGGAAACACAAUGUAACAAAAUGCAGCAGAACCAAUAGAAAGCAGAAACAUACCAGCACCCUGCCCAGACUUGGAAAAGUGUCAGGCGGACUGAAAUACCACCAAAAUUACCAUGCUUAAAGAAACAAAUGACAAACUGAUAACAUCUGCAGGAAACAGGUAUAUUAUCAAAAAUGGAUUAUAUUGUAGGAAACUAUAAGAUUUGUCACAGCAAAUUCGAAAACCAGAGUUUUUAUAAAUAAGUAGUAAAAUAACAAAUGUUAAAUACUCAGUGAAUGGGCUUAACAGCAGAUUGGAUAAAACAUAAGGAGAAGUAAUGAACUGAUAAACUAGAAGGGUUUUAGGUAUAAAAUUAUAUUUAAUUGUCCAUAUAAAUUAUAUACAAUAUAAUAUACUGGUUAUGAAUUAGAAUACACUAUCCAGGAUGAAACAUAGAAUAGUAAAUAAAGAGAGAGUGAGACACAAGGAGGAUAUAGUGAGAAAUGUAACAUACAUUUGAUCAAGGCCUUAGAAGGAAAAGAGAGAGAGAAUGAGGCAGAGGAAAUGUUUGAGGAGAAAAUCACUGGAAUUUUCCAGAACUGAAGAAACACAUUAAUCUAUGAUCAAAAAGAUCUAGGGAACCCCCCC
Molecule: long non-coding RNA, 5640 nt
Organism: Acinonyx jubatus (cheetah)
Lineage: Eukaryota; Metazoa; Chordata; Mammalia; Carnivora; Felidae
Exons: 3
Source: RefSeq, a predicted model, not a curated record